Molecule: long non-coding RNA, 217 nt
Filed under: Mytilus galloprovincialis (Mediterranean mussel)
Lineage: Eukaryota; Metazoa; Mollusca; Bivalvia; Mytilida; Mytilidae
Source: RNAcentral
UGUGCGUAUUGUUAUGCGUUUAUUUUUCUACAUUAGCUAGAGGUAUAGGGGGAGGGUUGAGAUCUCAUAAACAUGUUUAACCCCGCCGCAAUUUUGCGCCUGUCCCAAGUCAGGAGCCUCUGGCCUUUGUUAGUCUUGUAUGAUUUUUUAAUUUUAGUUUCUUGUGUAUAAUUCGGAGUUUAGUAUGACGUCCAUUAUCACUGUACUAAUAUACAUA